UAUGAAAUGCCUGAUUAAAGGAUUAUUAUGAUAGAAUAAAUUAUGUGGAAAUUCCACUUUCAUUG
This 65-nucleotide transfer RNA is filed under the name Vatana ogromna. RNAcentral describes it as "tRNA-Ile". Lineage: Eukaryota; Metazoa; Arthropoda; Insecta; Hemiptera; Cicadellidae. RNAcentral also lists the same sequence under 1 other name. The record is from RNAcentral.